RNAcentral lists this transfer RNA (66 nucleotides) under Tubuca capricornis. RNAcentral describes it as "tRNA-Phe". Lineage: Eukaryota; Metazoa; Arthropoda; Malacostraca; Decapoda; Ocypodidae. The record is from RNAcentral.
AUUUAUAUAAUUCAUACAAAGAAUAUUGUGUUGAAGCCACAAAAGAGGUAAAUAUACCUGUAAAUA